This 255-nucleotide long non-coding RNA is filed under the name Hordeum vulgare. Its description in RNAcentral is "long non-coding RNA (HVUL_LNC009699)". The record is from RNAcentral. Lineage: Eukaryota; Viridiplantae; Streptophyta; Magnoliopsida; Poales; Poaceae.
AUAAGCUUUUGCUGCGCAUCGCCUAUGUCACGGUCGGGCCGAGCGCCGGUGAUGAGGGCGCAAGAUACAGGAGCAUGGCCUUCUUCUCGCGCUGCAGCCUCCGGCUUUGUCCUGCUCGAGGAGGAGGAGGAGCAGGAGGGGCGCACCCAACCACUAAGGUGGCCGUUGUCGAGGGCUUCUUACAUCUGAACCUCGACCUCCACGUCGUCGUUGUCCAGCCACUCAAGUUCAAGGUUUCCCCGUUCCCCUCUCCCC